RNAcentral lists this ribosomal RNA (394 nucleotides) under uncultured bacterium. Its description in RNAcentral is "bacterial SSU rRNA". It matches the Rfam family "Bacterial small subunit ribosomal RNA", at positions 28 to 423 of the family's 1533-position model. The record is from RNAcentral.
GACGAACGCUGGCGGCGUGCUUAACACAUGCAAGUCGAGCGGUAAGGCCCUUUCGGGGGUACACGAGCGGCGAACGGGUGAGUAACACGUGGGUGACCUGCCCUCAGCUCUGGGAUAAGCCUGGGAAACUGGGUCUAAUACUGGAUAUGACUCCACGGUGCAUGUCGUGGGGUGGAAAGCCUUGUGCGGCUGAGGAUGGGCCCGCGGCCUAUCAGCUUGUUGGUGGGGUGANGGCCUACCAAGGCGACGACGGGUAGCCGGCCUGAGAGGGCGACCGGCCACACUGGGACUGAGACACGGCCCAGACUCCUACGGGAGGCAGCAGUGGGGAAUCUUGCGCAAUGGGCGAAAGCCUGACGCAGCGACGCCGCGUGAGGGAUGACGGCCUCGGUGU